RNAcentral lists this transfer RNA (58 nucleotides) under Ficedula albicollis (Collared flycatcher). It matches the Rfam family "tRNA", at positions 8 to 63 of the family's 71-position model. From Rfam's summary of the family: Transfer RNA (tRNA) molecules are approximately 80 nucleotides in length. Their secondary structure includes four short double-helical elements and three loops (D, anti-codon, and T loops). Lineage: Eukaryota; Metazoa; Chordata; Aves; Passeriformes; Muscicapidae. The record is from Rfam by way of RNAcentral.
UAACUCAGCUGGUUAGAGCAUGGUGCUAGUAACACCAAGAUUGUGGGUUCAAUCCCAC